AACAUCUGACUCCUCAGGAGUGGCAACGCAUGGGGGGGGGUAUCAUGGGUGACACAGUAUACUCGGUUAUGUCCAUGGUACUGCUCAUGUCUAUAGACGACGGUUACCACUUUCCAUCAGGUGGACCGUCAGCUUGUUUGCCAUUCUAAGUUGUAUAAAAACAAAAUGAGUAAAAAUGAGUAAUCUUAAUGACACUACUCCAGUAGUUUAUCGUCCAUAUCACUUAUCUUAUUCCGAACGAGAAAUAGUCCGCAAUAUAGUACAUGAAUUAGAGAGCGCUGGAAUUGUUAGAUCGUCUACGUCCUCAUAUGCAUCCCCAGUUCUGUUGGUUCAAAAGAAAAUUGGUGACUAUCGUCUAUGUAUUGAUUUCUGUGCUUUGACCAAAAAGACUAUAAAAGAACACUAUCCAUUGCCAAGGAUAGAUGAUCAAUUAGAUAAUUUAUCAGAUUUUAAAUAUUAUACGGUUUUAGAUAUGGAUGAUGUCAUCAGCCCAUUAAAAAUGGGUAUAGCCGGUAUCUUACUCCAAAGGGCCAACAAGGAUUUACCUUUAAUGCCGUAUCCUAUUAUAGCAGACAUACAUCUCCUGAAGAAACCCGGUUUAGUUUUUAUGAUCUAGAGACCUUGGCCGUAGUAACCUCUUUGCAGAAAUUUAGAGUAUGUCUAUUGGGCAUCCCCUUUACUGUAGUUACCGACUGUUAUUCUCUUCGUGCUAUGUUCGAAAAACGCGAUAUAUUACCUAGGGUUGCCAGAUGGUAGAGUGCCAUGCAGGGAUAUAAUUUUAAGAUCAUUUAUAAGCCAGGUACAACAAUGUCCCAUGUUGACGCCCUCAGCCGUAAUCCUAUUGAGGUCCCAUUGAAUUGUUCCGAAGUUCGAAAUAUUAGCACAGAUUGGAUAACUACCGUUUAACAAGGUGAUUCAGAAUUAAUGCGUAUUAUAAACAUAUUAAAUGAUAACGAGACUAAUAGUAAUUUAGAUUCAAAAAAAAAAAAAAAGAAAAAAAAAUGGUGGUAAAGAAAAAAGGGGGUUACUUUGUAGGAAAACGGCUGACGGUGAUCGUUGGGUUGUCCCUAAGGGGGUAAGAUGGCAGAUACUAAAAGCUAAUCAUGAUGAUAUGGGUCACUUUGGAUUUGAUAAGACUUAUGAUAAAAUACAUCCAUGGCUCGUUUAAACAGAACCGGGAAUGAUACAGAUUCAAAUAGUGCGGACGACAACUAGUCUGAUCGUUUGAUUGAUUGCAUAUUGUUUAAAUUAGUUUAUAUACAUAUAUGUACAUAUUGUUAAGUUAUAUAACUAUCAAAAUAAUGGUACUUAUAGUGAUUUAAGUAGUCAAUUUAUAUAUCAAAUGUCAUUGAAAUUAGUUGUUUAAUUGAUUGAAUUCUGUACACUAUAUAUAUAAAUGAGAUUAUCAAUUAAUUUAUAUAAAGGAUUAAUAUUUUUUGGAAGAGUUUAAGUAUUGUUUAAUUAUAUUAACCUGUAUACUGGUUUUACCAAGUUUCAGAAGGACACGUUGAAGAUAUGUAUGAGGCUUUAACGUGAUAUUGUUGUAGACAUGAAGGGGCUACAACAAUUAGUAUAGUGAUUUAAUUAGAUAAUUAGAGACACAUUGAAGACAUGAAGGGGCUUCAAUGUGAUAUUGUUGUAGACAUGAAGGGGCUACAACAAUUAGUAUAGUGAUUUAAUUAGAUAAUUAGAGACACAUUGAAGACAUGAAGGGGCUUCAAUGUGAUAUUGUUGUAGACAUGAAGGGGCUACAACAAUUAGUAUAGUAAUUUAAUUAGAUAAGUUAGAGACACAUUGAAGACAUGAAGGGGCUUCAAUGUGAUAUUGUUGUAGACAUGAAGGGGCUACAACAAUUAGUAUAGUGAUUUAAUUAGAUAAUUAGAGACACAUUGAAGACAUGAAGGGGCUUCAAUGUGAUAUUGUUGUAGACAUGAAGGGGCUACAACAAUUAGUAUAGUGAUUUAAUUAGAUAAUUAGAGAUACAUUGAAGACAUGAAGGGGCUUCAAUGUGAUAUUGUUGUAGACAUGAAGGGGCUACAACAAUUAGUAUAGUAAUUUAAUUAGAUAAUUAGAGACACAUUGAAGACAUGAAGGGGCUUCAAUGUGAUAUUGUUGUAGACAUGAAGGGGCUACAACAAUUAGUAUAGUGAUUUAAUUAGAUAAGUUAGAGACACAUUGAAGAUAUGAAGGGGCUUCAAUGUGUUAUUGUUGUAGACAUGAAGGGGCUACAACAAUUAGUAUAGUAACUUAAUUAGAUAAGUUAGAGACACAUUGAAGACAUGAAGGGGCUUCAAUGUGAUAUUGUUGUAGACAUGAAGGGGCUACAACAAUUAGUAUAGUAAUUUAAUUAGAUAUUUCAGAGACACAUUGAAGACAUGAAGGGGCGUCAAUGUGAUAUUGUUGUAGACAUGAAGGGGCUACAACAAUUAGUAUCGUAAUGUAAUUAGAUAAUUUAGAGACACAUUGAAGACAUGAAGGAGCUACAUAUAUCAAUAAUUCAAGACAUAUAAUAUGAAUAGCAUUAUAUAAUAUACUUUUUUUUUCCCUAUUCUAUUUCACGAGACGUGAAAAUGUCAGGAAAGGCCGAUUGUUAGCAUCUUUACAUUUAGUAUACCAAUAUUUUAUUAUAUUUGUAUCAUAACUGUUGUCAAGUGCCACUGUUGCUGAUUUGAUUUAACUACAAAAUGGUGAUUUGUCAUUUCCGGAAUAAUUAUUUACCCGCCAAAACAGUCGACAUAAAAACUAGAAGUAACAACGAACAGUGAACAGUUGUGGAUUGAACAUUGAUCAGUAAAGACGUAUAAUUUGGUAAGUCGCUUUAAUACAAAUGUAUUUUAAUUGCAAAGUUGUGGAACUGUUAAUACAUGAGUUGGAUUCCCCUAUAA
Molecule: long non-coding RNA, 2885 nt
Organism: Galleria mellonella (greater wax moth)
Lineage: Eukaryota; Metazoa; Arthropoda; Insecta; Lepidoptera; Pyralidae
Exons: 2
Source: RefSeq, a predicted model, not a curated record